AGGUUGGCUCAGAAGCAGCCAUCCUUCAAAGAGUGCGUAACAGCUCACUAGUCGAGUGACCCUGCGCCGAAAAUGUACCGGGGCUAAGCAUGCUACCGAAGCUGCGGAUUUGUAGGAAUACAAGUGGUAGGGGAGCGUUCUAUGCAGCGUAGAAGCCAUAUCGUGAGGAGUGGUGGAGCGCAUAGAAGUGAGAAUGCCGGUGUGAGUAGCGAGAUGUAGGUGAGAAUCCUACACACCGAUAGCCCAAGGAUUCCAGGGGAAGGUUCGUCCGCCCUGGGUAAGUCGGGACCUAACGCGAGGCCGAAAGGCGUAGUGGAUGGAAAACAGGCAGAUAUUCCUGUACCCGCGAUGGAAAUGAAGGAAUGACGGAGAAGGUAAGUAUGACCCACUAAAUGGAUUGUGGGCGAAGCGUAUAGCAGGAUGGCAGUGAAAUGCGUCAUCAGGAUGUAAAGCGUGAAAGGUAAGGGAACGCCCAAGGGCAAGUACCGAAGCAUAUGUAGCCAGCUUCCAGGAAAAGUUUCUAGUAUAUUCCAUAGCGGCCCGUACCAAAACCGACACAGGUGGGCAAGGAGAGGAUCCUGAGGUGAGCGAGAGAACUGUUGCCAAGGAACUCGGCAAAAUGACUCCGUAAGUUAGCGAGAAGGAGUGCUUAUGAAAGUAAGCCGCAGUGAAGAGGCCCAAGCGACUGUUUAACUAAAACACAGCUCUCUGCAAAGUCGCAAGACGAAGUAUAGGGGGUGACGCCUGCCCGGUGCUGGAAGGUUAAGAGGAUUUGUCAGUAGCGAUACGAAGCAAUGAAUUGAAGCCCCAGUGAACGGCGGCCGUAACUAUAACGGUCCUAAGGUAGCGAAAUUCCUUGUCAGGUAAGUUCUGACCCGCACGAAAGGCGUAACGAUUUGGGCGCUGUCUCGGCAGCAGACUCGGUGAAAUCUUAGUACCUGUGAAAAUGCAGGUUACCCGCAACUAGACGGAAAGACCCCAUGGAGCUUUACUGCAGCCUGAUAUUGAGUUUCGAUCAGAGAUGUACAGGAUAGGUGGGAGACAAAGAGACAUGCACGCCAGUGUAUGAGGAGUCGCUGUUGGGAUACCACUCUUGUCUGAUUGGAAUUCUAACCUGCAUCCCUAAGCGGGAUGAGGGACCGUGUCAGGUGGGCAGUUUGACUGGGGCGGUCGCCUCCCAAAGAGUAACGGAGGCGCCCAAAGGUACGCUCAGAUUGGAUGGAAAUCAAUCGACGAGUGCAAAUGCAGAAGCGUGCUUGACUGCGAGACAAACAGGUCGAGCAGGGACGAAAGUCGGGAUUAGUGAUCCGGCGGUGCCGAAUGGAAGGGCCGUCGCUCAACGGAUAAAAGCUACCCUGGGGAUAACAGGCU
RNAcentral lists this ribosomal RNA (1371 nucleotides) under human gut metagenome. Its description in RNAcentral is "bacterial LSU rRNA". It matches the Rfam family "Bacterial large subunit ribosomal RNA", at positions 1098 to 2483 of the family's 2925-position model. The record is from RNAcentral.